AUAAAAUUCAAAUUGAAAAAUUCACUAAUUUUAAUUAAAAUUUUAUUUACAUAUUGAUCUAUUAUUCUAUUACCAAUAAAACUAAUAAAUUACAUUUUAAUAAUCUAUUAACAACCAUAUAUAAAAAUUAAUUUUAAUCUUUUAAAAAGAGCAAUUUCUAAUUAUAAAACAAGAUUCUUUAAUAAUUGUUUACCGCCAAGAAAAUUAAUUUUAAAUUUACUUUAUUCAUUAAUUAAAUAAAUUUCAUUGAAUUUCUAGGGUAUCUAAUCCUAUUACUAAUAUUCAAUUAAAUUAAAAUAAAUCACUUAAUGUUUAAACCAACUAAUUUCACCUAAAAGUUUAAAUUAAAUUAACAUCAAUUAUUUUAAAUUCAAAACUAAUUAAUUUAACUGAUUAUGUUUAACC
Molecule: ribosomal RNA, 405 nt
Filed under: Dactylopius tomentosus
Lineage: Eukaryota; Metazoa; Arthropoda; Insecta; Hemiptera; Dactylopiidae
Description: partial small subunit ribosomal RNA
Source: RNAcentral